RNAcentral lists this long non-coding RNA (484 nucleotides) under Chloebia gouldiae (Gouldian finch). RNAcentral's name for it is "Erythrura gouldiae (Gouldian finch) lncRNA (ENSEGOG00005015049.1)". Lineage: Eukaryota; Metazoa; Chordata; Aves; Passeriformes; Passeridae. The record is from RNAcentral.
CCCCCUCCCCCCCAUACACAGCUUACCCGGGCCGGCCCCGCGCGCGCCGCCGCCGCCUCGCGCCCCCCCUCCCUUUAUGGCCGCCCCUCACCCGCCCCCCUCACGCCCUUUCCCCUCACGGCCUCGGCCAUGGCCGGGCCCUCCCGGAGAACGGCAGCGGCGCCGCGAAGAGGAGGAGGAGGAGGAAGAGGAGGAGGAGGAGUCGCACAGAUUCAAGAGCUCGAGCUCCAAGAGACGCAAUAAGCGAUUGUGUUUUGAGUCUUGGCAGCGCCAAAUCCAUGAGCAGAGGCUGGUGCCAACAGCAGAGUACAGGGCUGCACCUCUUUAACUCAUCUCAGGUUAUGUUAAUUGUGGAUUGCACCGUCUCGUGAAGAAUGAGUUCAGGACCUGCAUUUUCCUGUGACCUUGGGUAAAGCAGUUCCCUUUGCACAGCUGUAUUUUGACUGUUGUUAAAAUGGAAAUAAAGAUACCUUUUCUCUUUUCA